ACUAAAGAGCAGUCAACAUAUUCAAGCUAAAACCCAGCAUAGUGCAUUACUGGUAAACAGUCAUAUUGGAAUAUCACUAGGCUGCAUUUUCUUGUUGCUCUUGAACUAUCAAGAUGUGGUUUAGCUAAUUGCCUGCUAACUUUAAUUAUGUGACAACUUGAUUGUGUAAAAUACAGAUAAAUGAAGAAUUCAAAAGAAAAACCACUGUAAGUCUUGAAUCUAAAUUUAGGGCCAAACUUGAUGCUUGCACCUCCAAAUUAAUGGAUGUAGUCUCAUCGAGGGGAGGAACUUCAGGAUUGAGGAUAAGGCAUGUUAAGAAUCAGCUUCUAGAGAACAAUGCAAUUGAAGUACGGAGAGAAGUGGCCAUUCGUUGACUGGUUGUCUACCUUGGAGAAAAGGAACAGGACCUCUUCAAGGAGUUUAAUGAUAUUGAAGAGUUUGAAGCAAACCUUGACAGGCAAGUAUUGAACAUUGCCAUCAUCAAAGACCAGAAUCCAAACACUGGAACCAUCUUGAUUGAGGGAGCCAAAAUUCUGGAUGGUAUUGAUGUCCCAAGGUGCUGUGCUUUGCUCAUGGGUUUAAUAUAUGCUCUGAAUCUGAGCUAUCCCAAGGAUCUAAAAUGUACAUACAAAGUAUUUCAGAAACUGUUCCUUGAACUUGAUGGACUAAAAACCAGUGGAAAAGUAAUGAAUCUCAAGUACAGCAUUUUCUAAUAACACCUUUCUUUCAAACCACUGCCAAUUUUUUUUAACCCAUUUUAUUAUUUAAUCCAUAAACAGCUGUUUCAAUUGUAAACAUUUUCAGGUUUUGUUUUAAUUUUUUGUUAAUUAUGUGCUAUUGAAAACUUGUUCAUUAUGGUUUUGUAAUACUGUGUUCAAAGAAUGUUGCUCUUUUGUCCAAGAAUAUUCUUAGAUCAGAAUAGGUGCUGUUGUGUGUUUGUACCUCAUGAUCUAUGUAAGCACUUGGUUUUUUCAUAGUGAUGUUGCUAUAUUUUUCAAAAUGUUUUUGCAUCUUGCAAUAGAAGUCAGGUUUGACAAAUUUGGCAAUUGAAUAUUACAUUGCGGCCUAUAUUUUUGCUGCUGUAGUAUGGCUAUUUCUUAGUCAAAGUUUUUGAAAGAUGUUGAAAAAUGUAAAAAUGCAACAUUAUAUUUCCAAUAAAGUAAAUUUU
This is a long non-coding RNA of Erpetoichthys calabaricus (reedfish), 1168 nucleotides long. RefSeq lists it as uncharacterized. Lineage: Eukaryota; Metazoa; Chordata; Cladistia; Polypteriformes; Polypteridae. The transcript is spliced from 3 exons. The record is from RefSeq and is a predicted model, not a curated record.